UAGGGAAUAUUGGGCAAUGGAGGCAACUCUGACCCAGCAACGCCGCGUGAAUGAAGAAGGUUUUCGGAUUGUAAAGUUCUGUUCUAAGGGAAGAAAAAAAUGACGGUACCUUAGGAGAAAGCCCCGGCAAACUACGUGCCAGCAGCCGCGGUAAUACGUAGGGGGCAAGCGUUGUCCGGAAUGACUGGGCGUAAAGGGAGUGUAGGCGGAUUUGUAAGUUAAAUGUGAAAGCCCCGGGCUUAACCCGGGAACUGCAUUUAAUACUGCAUAUCUAGAGUGUGGGAGAGGAUAAUGGAAUUCCAAGUGUAGCGGUAGAAUGCGUAGAUAUUUGGGGGAACAUCAGAGGCGAAGGCGAUUAUCUGGACCAUAACUGACGCUGAUACUCGAAAGCGUGGGGAGCAAACA
RNAcentral lists this ribosomal RNA (405 nucleotides) under uncultured bacterium. RNAcentral describes it as "partial 16S ribosomal RNA". It matches the Rfam family "Bacterial small subunit ribosomal RNA", at positions 355 to 774 of the family's 1533-position model. The record is from RNAcentral.